Setaria italica (foxtail millet) is the source of this 648-nucleotide long non-coding RNA. RefSeq lists it as uncharacterized. The transcript has 3 exons. The record is from RefSeq and is a predicted model, not a curated record. Lineage: Eukaryota; Viridiplantae; Streptophyta; Magnoliopsida; Poales; Poaceae.
GCACGAAACUGGUUCCUACCCUAAGUGUUAUCCUUAUUCCUUUCAUCCUUUGAUCCUUUCCUGUCCUGGACGCUCUUGUUCUGUUGCGGCCCUUAGAAUGAUAACUGGGAUGCUUCUUUGUACCUAAUGGCCAAGAGAUAAACAGAUUUGAUAUGUUGACCUUCUAUGGAGGCAUCAAAAGAACAGGCUUCCAAGGACUAUGCUGAUUUCAAGGAGAAGGUUAGGAGGACCAUAUAUUUGGACCAGCUUUCUCCACAAGUUACCACCCCAGUCAUCAAAGCAGCUCUUGCCCAGUGUGCAAAUGUUGUCAAUGUGGAGUUCAUCGUCAACUACACAAUCCCUUAUGAUGUACCUUCUGCUGCAUUGGUAGAACUGGAUGAUGAUAUGCAGGCCAAGGCUGCUGUCGAGUUGAUGACUGAUUUCCCAUUCAUAAUUGGUGGGAUGCCAAGGCCUGUAAAAGCUACCCAUGCAAAGGCUGAGAUGUUCAGGGAUCGACCUCCCUGCCCUGGCCUCAAGAAAGAGUUCCGCUGGGUAAAACAAGGAGAUGACGAGUGUGAGACAAUGAAGAAACUGAAAAACCUUGCAAAGAAGCAAGAGUCAGAGAACAUGGCUCUCAUAAAGGUAAACUUGUUAGUUGCCUUGUGACUG